Molecule: non-coding RNA, 935 nt
Filed under: Strabomantis necerus (Mindo robber frog)
Lineage: Eukaryota; Metazoa; Chordata; Amphibia; Anura; Strabomantidae
Description: 12S ribosomal RNA
Rfam family: Bacterial small subunit ribosomal RNA
Source: RNAcentral
CACAAAGGUUUGAUCCUGGCCUUAAAAUCAAUUCUUACUUAACUUACACAUGCAAGUUUCCGCACCCCAGUGAAAAAUUGCCCCUUUCUUCUGCAAGAACAAAUGGAGCUGGCAUCAAGCACUACUUUUGCUCAAGACGCCUAGUCCCACCACAUCCCCAAGGAUAUACAGCAGUGAUUAACAUUGAAUAUAAGCGCCAGCUCGAUUCAGUUAAAGUAAUCUCGGGCCGGCAAACAUGGUGCCAGCCGCCGCGGCUAAACCAUACGGGCCCAAAUUGAUUUCCGUCGGCGUAAAGAGUGGUUAAAGCUAACCCUUCCAUUAGAGUUAAACUUAAACUAUGUCGUGAAAAUCUAGUUUGAAGGAAACUCAGAUACGAAAGUUACUCUAAUUAUACUUGACCCCACGACAGUUAGGACAUAAACUUGGAUUAGAUACCCAACUAUACCUAACUAUAAACUUUAAUUUACACUACAAUCGCCAGGGAACUAUGAGCAAAGCUUAGAACCCAAAGGACUUGACGGUACCCCAUAACCCCUAGAGGAGCCUGUCUUAUAAUCGACGAUCCCCGCUACACCCUACCACUUUUAGCUAAUCAGUCUGUAUACUUCCGUCUUCAGCCCAUCGCGUGAGCGACACUCAACGAGCUAAAUGUUUAUUCAACAAUACGACAGGUCAAAGUGCAACUAAUAAAAGUGGACAAAGAUGGGCUACACUCUCUAAGCUAGAAAAUACGGAAGACCAACAUGAAACCUUUUCUGAAGGUGGAUCUAGAAGUAAAAAGAAAAUAGAAAAUUCUUUUUAAUCCAAAAAUUGGGGUGUGUACACACCGCCCGUCACCCUCUUCAAAGCACAUUAUAAAGUAUUUUAACUUCUCAUCGCAUCCAAGAAGAGGUAAGUCGUAACAUGGUAAGUAUACUGGAAAGUAUGCUUGGAAA